CCAGUUUUGCUCCAAGGACCAAUCGACACGACCGUACCGCAAACCGACACUGGUGCGCGAGAUGAGUAUUCUAAGGCGCUUGAGAGAACUCAGGAGAAGGAACUCGGCAAAUUGACACCGUAACUUCGGAAGAAGGUGUGCCUUUAGUAGGUGAAGUCCCUCGCGGAUGGAGCCCAAUGAGGUUGCAAAAAAUCGGUGGCUGCGACUGUUUAUUAAAAACACAGCACUCUGCAAACACGAAAGUGGACGUAUAGGGUGUGACGCCUGCCCGGUGCUGGAAGAUUAAAUGAUGGGGUGCAAGCUCUUGAUUGAAGUCCAGUAAACGGCGGCCGUAACGAUAACGGUCCUAAGGUAGCGAAAUUCCUUGUCGGGUCAGUUCCGACCUGCACGAAUGGCGUAACGAUGGCCACACUGUCUCCUCCUGAGACUCAGCGAAGUUGAAAUGUUUGUGAUGAUGCAAUCUCCCCGCGGAAAGACGGAAAGACCCCAUGAACCUUUACUGUAGCUUUGUAUCGGACUUUGAACAGAUCUGUGUAGGAUAGGUGGGAGGCUUUGAAGCAGGGUCGCUAGAUCUUGUGGAGCCAACGUUGAAAUACCACCCUGGUGUGUUUGAGGUUCUAACCUAGGCCCGUAAUCCGGGUUGGGGACAGUGCAUGGUAGGCAGUUUGACUGGGGCGGUCUCCUCCCAAAGUGUAACGGAGGAGUUCGAAGGUACGCUAGUUACGGUCGGACAUCGUGACGAUAGUGCAAUGGCAUAAGCGUGCUUAACUGCGAGACUGACAAGUCGAGCAGAUGCGAAAGCAGGACAUAGUGAUCCGGUGGUUCUGUAUGGAAGGGCCAUCGCUCAACGGAUAAAAGGUACUCUGGGGAUAACAGGCUGAUACCGCCCAAGAGUUCAUAUCGACGGCGGUGUUUGGCACCUCGAUGUCGGCUCAUCUCAUCCUGGGGCUGUAGCCGGUCCCAAGGGUAUGGCUGUUCGCCAUUUAAAGAGGUACGUGAGCUGGGUUUAAAACGUCGUGAGACAGUUUGGUCCCUAUCUUCCGUGGGCGCUGCAGAUUUGAGGAAGCCUGCUCCUAGUACGAGAGGACCGGAGUGGACGCACCUCUGGUGUAUCGGUUGUCACGCCAGUGGCAUUGCCGAGUAGCUAUGUGCGGAAGAGAUAACCGCUGAAAGCAUCUAAGCGGGAAACUCGUUUCAAGAUGAGAUCUGCCGGGGCCUUGAGCCCCCUGAAGAGUCGUUCAAGACCAGGACGUUGAUAGGUCGGGUGUGGAAGCGCAGUAAUGCGUUAAGCUAACCGAUACUAAUUGCUCGUGCGGCUUGACCU
RNAcentral lists this ribosomal RNA (1324 nucleotides) under metagenome. RNAcentral describes it as "bacterial LSU rRNA". It matches the Rfam family "Bacterial large subunit ribosomal RNA", at positions 1609 to 2925 of the family's 2925-position model. The record is from RNAcentral.